AAAGAGUAGCAAUAAAUGAUGAUGAUAUGUGAUUAUCAACAAUACAAGAAGCUGAAAUGAAAUCUGUAUCAGUACUUAGGUGGGAACUUUAUGGUAGUGAUAUAUUGAACAAUGAGAGCAAUAAAAGUAUAGGUUAAAAUGAUUAAAUGUCACGGUCUCUGGUGCACUCUGAAGGUACUUGGGGAUAGCGUUUGCGAUCAGUGCAGUAGUUGUAGAUGGUGUAUUUGUUGCGUACCCAAGCCAGUUUUUGCCACUGAGCAGCAUCAAGGUCACGGAACUCUGGUUGAUCCCACCACCUCUUGCCUUGAGUGUCACAGAACUUGGCAUUCACUGAUGCCUC
This 340-nucleotide long non-coding RNA is filed under the name Phaseolus vulgaris (common bean). RNAcentral's name for it is "long non-coding RNA (PVUL_LNC003338)". The record is from RNAcentral. Lineage: Eukaryota; Viridiplantae; Streptophyta; Magnoliopsida; Fabales; Fabaceae.